AAGCGGAGGAAAAGAAACCAACAGGGAUUACCUCAGUAACGGCGAGUGAAGCGGUAACAGCUCAAAUUUGAAAUCUGCCGCAAGGCCGAGUUGUAAUUUGUAGAAGAUGCUUUGGGUAUGGCCCCGGUCUAAGUUCGUUGGAACACGACGUCAUAGAGGGUGAGAAUCCCGUAUGUGACUGGGUGCUUUUGCCUAUGUAAAGCUCUUUCGACGAGUCGAGUUGUUUGGGAAUGCAGCUCAAAAUGGGUGGUAUAUUUCAUCUAAAGCUAAAUAUUGGCCAGAGACCGAUAGCGCACAAGUAGAGUGAUCGAAAGAUGAAAAGCACUUUGGAAAGAGAGUUAAACAGUACGUGAAAUUGUUGAAAGGGAAGCGCUUGCAACCAGACUUGCACGCUGUUGAUCAUCCAGGCUUCUGUUUGGUGCACUCAACUGCGUUCAGGCCAGCAUCGGUUUUGGUGGUGGGAUAAAGGCCUUGGGAAUGUAGCUUCUUUCGGGGAGUGUUAUAGCCCUCGGUGCAAUGCCGCCUACCGGGACCGAGGACCGCGCUUCGGCUAGGAUGCUGGCGUAAUGGUUGUAAGCGACCCGUCUUGAAACACGGACCAAGGAGUCUAACAUCUAUGCGAGUGUUUGGGUGUCAAACCCAUACGCGUAAUUAACGUGAACGGAGGUGAGAACCCUUAAGGGUGCAUCAUCGACCGAUCCUGAUGUCUUCGGAUGGAUUUGAGUAAGAGCAUAGCUGUUGGGACCCGAAAGAUGGUGAACUAUGCCUGAAUAGGGUGAAGCCAGAGGAAACUCUGGUGGAGGCUCGCAGCGGUUCUGACGUGCAAAUCGAUCGUCAAAUUUGGGUAUAGGGGCGAAAGACUAAUCGAACCA
Molecule: ribosomal RNA, 872 nt
Filed under: Varicosporium elodeae
Lineage: Eukaryota; Fungi; Ascomycota; Leotiomycetes; Helotiales; Discinellaceae
Description: eukaryotic LSU rRNA
Rfam family: Eukaryotic large subunit ribosomal RNA
Source: RNAcentral